Molecule: ribosomal RNA, 294 nt
Filed under: Craspedolepta formosa
Lineage: Eukaryota; Metazoa; Arthropoda; Insecta; Hemiptera; Aphalaridae
Description: partial 12S ribosomal RNA
Source: RNAcentral
AAGUAGUAAUAGAUAAUUCUUGAAACUUAAAAGAUUUGGCGGUAUUUUAUCUUAUCAGAGGAACCUGUAACUUAAGUGAUAAUCCACGUCUUAUUACGCUUUAUUUAAAAUACUUGUAUAUCGCUGUCACGGAUAUAUUUAUAAGUUAAAUUUUCAAUUUUAUAAAUUUCAUGUUAGGUCAAGGUGCAGUCUAAUAAGAAAAUUAUGGGUUACAAUGAAUAAAAGGAAUGUUAUAAAAAGGAUUUGAUAGUAAGUUUAUUAAGGAAAUAUUUUGAAUAAAGAUUCUAAAAUAUG